Molecule: ribosomal RNA, 254 nt
Filed under: uncultured bacterium
Lineage: Bacteria
Description: partial 16S ribosomal RNA
Rfam family: Bacterial small subunit ribosomal RNA
Source: RNAcentral
UACGGGGGGAGCAAGCGUUGUUCGGAUUUACUGGGCGUAAAGGGCGCGUAGGCGGCCAGCACACGUCAGUUGUGAAAUCUCCGGGCUUAACUCGGAAAGGUCAACUGAUACUGUGCGGCUAGAGUGCAGAAGGGGCAACUGGAAUUCUCGGUGUAGCGGUGAAAUGCGUAGAUAUCGAGAGGAACACCUGCGGCGAAGGCGGGUUGCUGGGCUGACACUGACGCUGAUGCGCGAAAGCCAGGGGAGCGAACAGG